UGAGGAAAGUAGGGGAUCGAAAGACCUUGCGCUUAAGGAGCGGCCGAUGUCUGAUUAGCUAGUUGGUGGGGUAAAGGCCUACCAAGGCAACGAUCAGUAGUUGGUCUGAGAGGACGACCAACCACACUGGGACUGAGACACGGCCCAGACUCCUACGGGAGGCAGCAGUGGGGAAUUUUGGACAAUGGGCGCAAGCCUGAUCCAGCCAUGCCGCGUGAGUGAAGAAGGCCUUCGGGUUGUAAAGCUCUUUCAGUUGGGAAGAAACGAUUGCAACUAAUAAUUGUAAUUAAUGACGGUACCGACAGAAGAAGCACCGGCUAACUACGUGCCAGCAGCCGCGGUAAUACGUAGGGUGCGAGCGUUAAUCGGAAUUACUGGGCGUAAAGGGUGCGCAGGCGGUUUUGUAAGUCAGAUGUGAAAUGCCCCGGGCUUAACCUGGGAAUGGCGUUUGAAACUACAAAGCUAG
RNAcentral lists this ribosomal RNA (466 nucleotides) under uncultured bacterium. RNAcentral describes it as "bacterial SSU rRNA". It matches the Rfam family "Bacterial small subunit ribosomal RNA", at positions 198 to 644 of the family's 1533-position model. The record is from RNAcentral.